This 318-nucleotide ribosomal RNA is filed under the name Triticum aestivum (bread wheat). RNAcentral describes it as "partial small subunit ribosomal RNA". The record is from RNAcentral. Lineage: Eukaryota; Viridiplantae; Streptophyta; Magnoliopsida; Poales; Poaceae.
AUGGAUGAUGAGGGUGGGAUCACCCAAGAGGGCCAUGAGCUUGAUGAUGACAUGACUUUGGCGGACGCUCAAGCUCGGUCCGCAUAUGUGUUCAAGCCUAGGCAGUCUAGACGCCGGUACACGCCCAACGACUAUGACAAUAGAGGCAACCCAAAGGUGGUCGUAGGGACCUCGCAGAUGGCUAGCUUGGAUGAUGAGGCGGAGGAGGAGGCAGAGGCGGAGGCGGAGGAGGAAGUGCACGAAGAGGAGCCUCGUGCUCCUAAGAAGAAGAAGAUUACCUCCAGGCGUGGCACCAGGAACACGCGCGGAAGGCAUUAG